Molecule: ribosomal RNA, 229 nt
Filed under: uncultured bacterium
Lineage: Bacteria
Description: partial 16S ribosomal RNA
Rfam family: Bacterial small subunit ribosomal RNA
Source: RNAcentral
UGUGUAGGCGGAAAUCCAAGCGUCAUGUGAAAUCCCUCGGCUCAACCGAGGAAUUGCUUGGCGAACUGGGUUUCUUGAGGCAGAUAUGGGUGUGUGGAACUCUUGGUGGAGCGGUGGAAUGCGUAGAUAUCAAGAGGAACGCCAAUGGUGAAGACAGCACACUGGGUCUGUUCUGACGCUGAGACACGAAAGCGUGGGUAGCGAACAGGAUUAGAUACCCUGGUAGUCC